Molecule: non-coding RNA, 64 nt
Filed under: unclassified sequences
Source: RNAcentral
CGGAAAUAGAGCAGCAGGUCGGUAGUUCCUGCGCCCGCGCCCCGCGGGUUCUUCCAAGCCACGG